UUAGGGUUGCUACCUUCUGAAGGGCGAGGUUUAGCCCGACGAGUGUUUGAAGCUCAAAGAUUUCGGCAGCUGGGAAUCACGAAUCACUACCGUUUCGAAUCGUCCUGAUGCCACAAAGCGCAAAAAAUCUGAUUAAGUCCGUUUCUCUGGGACUUUAUUUGUUCAGCAGUGAUUAGUAUGUAUGCUGAUGCUGGCAGCUACGGCUGCUUGCGGUACCUGUGCAGAGCAAAGCGGAGGCCGGCGACUAGCCCGCUCAUUAGCAAAAAAUCGCAGCAAGUUUCUGCGAAUUUGGUUAAAAAAAACACAAUCUGGAGAGGCUGGUCUGUUUAAUCACCUUACUAGCAACACGUUCAAGGUCAUCAAGACGUAUUUGUUUUACUCUCCCUGCAAACGCGACCAGGACGAGCUCCCGGAAGAUGAACGCCGAUGUCAUCGGUAGCGAAGCCCUGCGUUCUACCAUCAGAGAUCCGCGGUACCGGCUCUUCGUUCACCGGCAGACCUAAAUAGCGCCUUAAAACACGGCAGCGUGCUGAAUAAGGACUGUGCUCCACACCCAUCCAUC
Molecule: long non-coding RNA, 562 nt
Organism: Brienomyrus brachyistius
Lineage: Eukaryota; Metazoa; Chordata; Actinopteri; Osteoglossiformes; Mormyridae
Exons: 4
Source: RefSeq, a predicted model, not a curated record